GAUGAACGCUGGCGGCGUGCUUAACACAUGCAAGUCGAACGAAGCACCUUGAUUUGAUUCUUCGGAUGAAGAUCUUGGUGACUGAGUGGCGGACGGGUGAGUAACGCGUGGGUAACCUGCCUCAUACAGGGGGAUAACAGUUAGAAAUGACUGCUAAUACCGCAUAAGACCACAGCACCGCAUGGUGCAGGGGUAAAAACUCCGGUGGUAUGAGAUGGACCCGCGUCUGAUUAGGUAGUUGGUGGGGUAACGGCCUACCAAGCCGACGAUCAGUAGCCGACCUGAGAGGGUGACCGGCCACAUUGGGACUGAGACACGGCCCAAACUCCUACGGGAGGCAGCAGUGGGGAAUAUUGCACAAUGGGGGAAACCCUGAUGCAGCGACGCCGCGUGAGCGAUGAAGUAUUUCGGUAUGUAAAGCUCUAUCAGCAGGGAAGAAAAUGACGGUACCUGACUAAGAAGCACCGGCUAAAUACGUGCCAGCCGCCGCAGUAA
Molecule: ribosomal RNA, 495 nt
Filed under: uncultured bacterium
Lineage: Bacteria
Description: partial 16S ribosomal RNA
Rfam family: Bacterial small subunit ribosomal RNA
Source: RNAcentral